Molecule: ribosomal RNA, 1437 nt
Filed under: uncultured organism
Description: 16S ribosomal RNA
Rfam family: Bacterial small subunit ribosomal RNA
Source: RNAcentral
GCUUAACACAUGCAAGUCGAGGGGCAGCAUGGUCUUAGCUUGCUAAGGCCGAUGGCGACCGGCGCACGGGUGAGUAACACGUAUCCAACCUGCCGUCUACUCUUGGACAGCCUUCUGAAAGGAAGAUUAAUACAAGAUGGCAUCAUGAGUCCACAUGUUCACAUGAUUAAAGGUAUUCCGGUAGACGAUGGGGAUGCGUUCCAUUAGAUAGUAGGCGGGGUAACGGCCCACCUAGUCUUCGAUGGAUAGGGGUUCUGAGAGGAAGGUCCCCCACAUUGGAACUGAGACACGGUCCAAACUCCUACGGGAGGCAGCAGUGAGGAAUAUUGGUCAAUGGGCGAGAGCCUGAACCAGCCAAGUAGCGUGAAGGAUGACUGCCCUAUGGGUUGCAAACUUCUUUUAUAAAGGAAUAAAGUCGGGUAUGCAUACCCGUUUGCAUGUACUUUAUGAAUAAGGAUCGGCUAACUCCGUGCCAGCAGCCGCGGUAAUACGGAGGAUCCGAGCGUUAUCCGGAUUUAUUGGGUUUAAAGGGAGCGUAGAUGGAUGUUUAAGUCAGUUGUGAAAGUUUGCGGCUCAACCGUAAAAUUGCAGUUGAUACUGGAUAUCUUGAGUGCAGUUGAGGCAGGCGGAAUUCGUGGUGUAGCGGUGAAAUGCUUAGAUAUCACGAAGAACUCCGAUUGCGAAGGCAGCCUGCUAAGCUGCAACUGACAUUGAGGCUCGAAAGUGUGGGUAUCAAACAGGAUUAGAUACCCUGGUAGUCCACACGGUAAACGAUGAAUACUCGCUGUUUGCGAUAUACUGCAAGCGGCCAAGCGAAAGCGUUAAGUAUUCCACCUGGGGAGUACGCCGGCAACGGUGAAACUCAAAGGAAUUGACGGGGGCCCGCACAAGCGGAGGAACAUGUGGUUUAAUUCGAUGAUACGCGAGGAACCUUACCCGGGCUUAAAUUGCAGAUGAAUUACGGUGAAAGCCGUAAGCCGCAAGGCAUCUGUGAAGGUGCUGCAUGGUUGUCGUCAGCUCGUGCCGUGAGGUGUCGGCUUAAGUGCCAUAACGAGCGCAACCCUUGUUGUCAGUUACUAACAGGUUCUGCUGAGGACUCUGACAAGACUGCCAUCGUAAGAUGUGAGGAAGGUGGGGAUGACGUCAAAUCAGCACGGCCCUUACGUCCGGGGCUACACACGUGUUACAAUGGGGGGUACAGAGGGCCGCUACCACGCGAGUGGAUGCCAAUCCCAAAAACCUCUCUCAGUUCGGACUGGAGUCUGCAACCCGACUCCACGAAGCUGGAUUCGCUAGUAAUCGCGCAUCAGCCACGGCGCGGUGAAUACGUUCCCGGGCCUUGUACACACCGCCCGUCAAGCCAUGGGAGCCGGGGGUACCUGAAGUGCGUAACCGCGAGGAGCGCCCUAGGGUAAAACUGGUGACUGGGGCUAAGUC